AUUGCCUCAGUAACGGCGAGUGAAGCGGCAAGAGCUCAAAUUUGAAAUCUGGCCCCCUCCGGGGUCCGAGUUGUAAUUUGCAGAGGAUGCUUUGGGUGCGGCCCCCGUCUAAGUGCCCUGGAACGGGCCGUCAUAGAGGGUGAGAAUCCCGUCUGGGACGAGGUGUCCGUGCCCGUGUAAAGCUCCUUCGACGAGUCGAGUUGUUUGGGAAUGCAGCUCUAAAUGGGUGGUAAAUUUCAUCUAAAGCUAAAUACUGGCCGGAGACCGAUAGCGCACAAGUAGAGUGAUCGAAAGAUGAAAAGCACUUUGAAAAGAGAGUUAAACAGCACGUGAAAUUGUUGAAAGGGAAGCGCUUGCGACCAGACUCGCCUACGGGGUUCAGCCGGCAUUCGUGCCGGUGUACUUCCCCGUGGGCGGGCCAGCGUCGGUUUGGGCGGUCGGUCAAAGGCCUCCGGAAUGUAUCACCCCCCGGGGUGUCUUAUAGCCGGAGGUGCAAUGCGGCCAGCCUAGACCGAGGAACGCGCUUCGGCUCGGACGCUGGCAUAAUGGUCGUAAGCGACCCGUCUUGAAACACGGACCAAGGAGUCUAACAUCUACGCGAGUGUUCGGGUGUCAAACCCGUACGCGCAGUGAAAGCGAACGGAGGUGGGAACCCCUUGUGGGCGCACCAUCGACCGAUCCUGAAGUCUUCGGAUGGAUUUGAGUAAGAGCGUAGCUGUUGGGACCCGAAAGAUGGUGAACUAUGCCUGAAUAGGGCGAAGCCAGAGGAAACUCUGGUGGAGGCUCGCAGCGGUUCUGACGUGCAAUCGAUCGUCAAUUUGGGUAUAGGGCAAA
Molecule: ribosomal RNA, 834 nt
Filed under: Sclerocleista ornata
Lineage: Eukaryota; Fungi; Ascomycota; Eurotiomycetes; Eurotiales; Aspergillaceae
Description: LSU rRNA
Rfam family: Eukaryotic large subunit ribosomal RNA
Source: RNAcentral